GAUGAACGCUAGCGACAGGCCUAACACAUGCAAGUCGAGGGGCAGCACAUGAGUAGCAAUACGAUGGUGGCGACCGGCGCACGGGUGAGUAACACGUAUGCAACCUGCCUUCUACUAUGGGAUAACCCGUUGAAAGACGGACUAAUACCGUAUAAUACAGGGGCUCCGCAUGGAGAUAUUUGUUAAAGAUUUAUUGGUAGAAGAUGGGCAUGCGUAUGAUUAGAUAGUUGGUGAGGUAACGGCUCACCAAGUCAACGAUCAUUAGGGGUUCUGAGAGGAAGGUCCCCCACACUGGUACUGAGACACGGACCAGACUCCUACGGGAGGCAGCAGUGAGGAAUAUUGGUCAAUGGACGAGAGUCUGAACCAGCCAAGUCGCGUGAAGGAAGACGGUUCUAUGAAUUGUAAACUUCUUUUGUGCAGGAAUAAAGUGGUUACGUGUAACCUUUUGUAUGUACUGUACGAAUAAGGAUCGGCUAACUCCGUGCCAGCAGCCG
This 497-nucleotide ribosomal RNA is filed under the name uncultured bacterium. Its description in RNAcentral is "bacterial SSU rRNA". It matches the Rfam family "Bacterial small subunit ribosomal RNA", at positions 28 to 517 of the family's 1533-position model. The record is from RNAcentral.